RNAcentral lists this ribosomal RNA (226 nucleotides) under uncultured bacterium. RNAcentral's name for it is "partial 16S ribosomal RNA". It matches the Rfam family "Bacterial small subunit ribosomal RNA", at positions 15 to 231 of the family's 1533-position model. The record is from RNAcentral.
GAUCAUGGCUCAGGAUGAACGCUAGCUACAGGCUUAACACAUGCAAGUCGAGGGGCAGCAUGGUCUUAGCUUGCUAAGGCCGAUGGCGACCGGCGCACGGGUGAGUAACACGUAUCCAACCUGCCGUCGUACUCUUGGACAGCCUUCUGAAAGGAAGAUUAAUACAAGAUGGCAUCAUGAGUUCACAUGUUCACAUGAUUAAAGGUAUUCCGGUAGACGAUGGGGA